UGGGGAAUAUUGCACAAUGGGCGAAAGCCUGAUGCAGCGACGCCGCGUGCGGGAUGAAGGCCUUCGGGUUGUAAACCGCUUUUAAUUGGGAGCAAGCGAGAGUGAGUGUACCUUUUGAAUAAGCACCGGCUAACUACGUGCCAGCAGCCGCGGUAAUACGUAGGGUGCAAGCGUUAUCCGGAAUUAUUGGGCGUAAAGAGCUCGUAGGCGGUUUGUCACGCCUGGUGUGAAAGUCCAUCGCUUAACGGUGGAUCUGCGCCGGGUACGGGCAGGCUAGAGUGCAGUAGGGGAGAUUGGAAUUCCCGGUGUAACGGUGGAAUGUGUAGAUAUCGGGAAGAACACCAAUGGCGAAGGCAGAUCUCUGGGCUGUUACUGACGCUGAGGAGCGAAAGCAUGGGGAGCGAACAGGAUUAGAUACCCUGGUAGUCCAUGCCGUAAACGGUGGAUGCUGGAUGUGGGACCCUUCCAC
This 469-nucleotide ribosomal RNA is filed under the name uncultured bacterium. RNAcentral's name for it is "partial 16S ribosomal RNA". It matches the Rfam family "Bacterial small subunit ribosomal RNA", at positions 355 to 836 of the family's 1533-position model. The record is from RNAcentral.